This is a long non-coding RNA of Chenopodium quinoa (quinoa), 1089 nucleotides long. RefSeq lists it as uncharacterized. The record is from RefSeq and is a predicted model, not a curated record. The transcript has 3 exons. NCBI's taxonomy places the organism in Eukaryota, Viridiplantae, Streptophyta, Magnoliopsida, Caryophyllales, Amaranthaceae.
GUACAUGACAAUAUGAGUUUUGUAUUAUAUAUAUAUAGAACUGAGAUUAUGUGAGAAUUAAGGUGAAUGAUGAGAACUAAGAACUAAUCUGAACCCUUGAUUCAUUUGAUCCAACGGCUGAGAUGUUGUCCGCGUUUUUAACUUAGUAAUGACAUUUUGGUAAAUUAUUGAAUUAUACCCAAACAUAUCCACCGUUCUGAUUCACUUUCUCUCUCUUCUUCAUGCUUUCUCUCUCUUCCUCCAAAUUCUCUGUGAUCUAAGGCGAUUUUCUUGGGUUCGCUCACGAUUUCUUCGCUUUUGUUCAUCAAAUUCUAGCGUGUUUCUGUUAAGUUCUAGAGAACCUAUGAAUCGAACCUACACCUCUAUGCAUCCGCAUCGUGCUUUACCACUUGAGCUAAAAGAACACAGUAGCAGAUUUUAUUAAGGAAUGCUAGCAGAAUCUAGCAUAACAACAUCUAUUACACAAGGAGGAGCCUCCUCAAUCCAUACUCUCUACUAGCAUGAGUAAAUUUAAACUAUACACCCACUGCGAGAAGGCAGCCCUCAGCAUCGUGCAAUACAUCAGUACAACACCAAGCCCCACACCACACCUGGAAACAUAGCAGCAUUAGUGUUGACUCUAACAUUGCACAAACCCGGCUUCACCCAGCAAUUACGAGAAGGGAAUCUCUACCCACAAGCCUUACUCCCCACUGCCCCCUUAUACUCCUUACUGCCCCUUUAUACAUCUUGUAACUAUCUUUGAGCUAUGUGCUGAUCUGACAUGCUGUCAUGCUUAAGCAGUCAGUGGCAUUGAAAUCUACACAGCUUCUAUUUUGAGCUACUAGAGCAUCACACUUCACACUACAUGCUUAGUAUGAGCAAUAUAAUUUUUCCUUAAACAUAACCUGCCCAUGUACCACAAAUGGCUACACUUGCACAAUCAACAACACAACCAUCAACUACCCCUGUCAGAGCUACAUUCAGUGGACUCUAAUUAUGAUCUUGUUGUGAAUUGAACCUUUUAAAAUCAAUGCACUAGAACAUAAGUUGCAUAUCCAUCUUCAAAAAAACUACAUUUGUACUGCUGUCAUAUUGCCGAUAUUGACA